RNAcentral lists this long non-coding RNA (934 nucleotides) under Eucalyptus grandis. Its description in RNAcentral is "long non-coding RNA (EGRA_LNC001458)". The record is from RNAcentral. Lineage: Eukaryota; Viridiplantae; Streptophyta; Magnoliopsida; Myrtales; Myrtaceae.
UUGGCCCCACCCCUCUUUUCCCCUUCUUCUUCUUUCUUCUUCUUCCCUCUUCUUCUUCCUCGUUCCUUCUUUCUCUGCCUCUGUAGUUCACGCGCAGAAGAUGACGACGCGUGCAAAGGACGGCCUACGGCCGAGGGGAGUAGGCCGACGUCGGCCGGAGAGGAUAAGAUCUCGGGCGCCAUCAAUGCCGAGCACGCUUCGCUGGAUAAGCUCGGAUGGGACGCCGGUCCAGCCAAGGAGAACCGCUCGGCGCGCAAAGGGGACCGCCGGUCGAAGCUCCGUCGACCGGACCUCCUCGCCUAUAAAUAGAGGAGCACCUCCGUCGACGAACGGGAUCGCAAGCUUGGACAUCUUCCCACUGAGAGACUUCGGGGGAGGAAUCGAAGAGCAAGCGAGAGAGAACUCGGGUCGCGAGCUCGGCUGACCUCCCACUGAGAGACUUCGGGGGAGGCCGCCGGCGAGCGAGUCCGAGGAGGUCAGAUCUAGCCGGUGGAGGCUCGGAUCUGACCGGAGUGAGGGAGAUCGGCCGGAGGGAGAGGGUCGGUCAAGGUCCAGAUCUGGGUUCUCGCUGCUACUACUGUUGACACCCCGACGCUACGUCGAGCCGUGCCGCCGUCCCCACACCGUCGCCUCGAUCGAGUCCCGACGUAGUCUCCUCGAAGGCUCGUUGCCGUCCCCCCCUGCUGAGCCGUGACCGAUCCGCUAACGCCAUGCCAGAUCUAGGAGCUACGGGGCUGACAUCACUACCUCCUGUCACCGCCACCGUUCGCCACCUCGUCACAGACAGGUAACGGUAACCAUCACCACCGCCGGUCGUGUCGCCGCCGUCGCAUCUUCCCCCUUUUCGAACCGUGCCGCCUUGAAACCCCCAUCACAGACCCAUGGUCGGUCGUCCUCGCUGAGCGGAUUGUCGUCGUCGUCUCCACCGUCGGCG